UACGGAGGGUGCGAGCGUUGUCCGGAAUCACUGGGCGUAAAGGGCGCGUAGGCGGCGCGAGCAGUCGGCGGUGAAAGCCCGGAGCUCAACUCCGGGUCGGCCGUCGAUACUCUCGUGCUCGAGCACUGUAGAGGCAGAUGGAAUUCCGGGUGUAGCGGUGGAAUGCGUAGAGAUCCGGAAGAACACCGGUGGCGAAGGCGGUCUGCUGGGCAGUAGCUGACGCUGAUGCGCGACAGCGUGGGGAGCAAACAGG
RNAcentral lists this ribosomal RNA (253 nucleotides) under uncultured bacterium. RNAcentral's name for it is "partial 16S ribosomal RNA". It matches the Rfam family "Bacterial small subunit ribosomal RNA", at positions 524 to 776 of the family's 1533-position model. The record is from RNAcentral.